Molecule: long non-coding RNA, 1031 nt
Organism: Solanum stenotomum
Lineage: Eukaryota; Viridiplantae; Streptophyta; Magnoliopsida; Solanales; Solanaceae
Exons: 3
Source: RefSeq, a predicted model, not a curated record
GCUCCAGUUCCACCGUCUUAUAUUCAAGUGGCCAGCUCUGCCAAUGUGCUCUCAAAUGGGGAACGAUCAUUGAAUAAAUAAUUAUUGCAUGAUCAAUUAGCAUAUGUACCCUUUGCUCAAUAUCCACAAUUUGUUUUCUCCUUUUUCAAUAUCCAGGUGCUAACGACCUUGGUAUUCCAAAGGCUCAGCUUGAGGCCCAUGAGAUAUCUUUACAACAACAAAUUGAGGUCAUGAAAUGUGACAUACAACUCAUAUGGAGUCGAAUUCUUUUGAUACUGCAAUUGAUUUAGCUGUGCCUACACUCAAAUUGAAAAGGUUUCCACUGCUUGACCAUUAUAAGGUUCAUUAUAGAAAACAAGUUCAAGCUCUCUUUCUCCUAUAUAAAAUAAUUGCAAUGAAUCAUAUUGUUACAAUAUGUUUUGUCGUGCAAUCUAUGCUAAACUCCUUCCAGUUUCUAUGAAUUCUUCCAAAGUAAGUAGAGUUAUUGACAUUCUCUUAUCUUUAUUAUAUAUAGUAACAUACAAUACAACAAGAGGCCCUUUCUGGUUUUCACGUAUCAUUGUUGCUCAUCUUUGUUUCGCCCUUAAAAACAAGGUAUCAAGGUUAAAAUGAAUUUCAAAAUUAUAAGUCAGCAGUUUCCUACUCUAUGUAUAGUGGGAUGGUGCACUGGAAAAGGAAAUGUAUAUGAGCCAGAAACUUUUGUCAUAACCGAUGAUGUUAGACUUUGUAAUUUUAAAAUCAGAUGCACAUCUGAAUAAACUAUGAUUCUGAUGUUAUGGAGAUGGCAAAUAAUGCCAUUGUAGCUGAUUGUUGAGUUUUUACUUUUUGAGAAUGCUGGUGAGACAUUCCAAGCAGGAGCCAUGUAUCUGAAAGAAAUUGGUGUUGAAGUUAGGAGGUUGAGUGUUGUAAAGUGUAUAAGUUUCAUGUUAAAAGGAAUUCUGAGAAGUCAUUUUCUGUUGUAAUUAAGAUUUUAACCUAAUAAUAUUGGUAGCUUAUAUUUGUACUACACAUUAUUGUGCUCUUAUUAGCAA